RNAcentral lists this ribosomal RNA (406 nucleotides) under uncultured bacterium. Its description in RNAcentral is "partial 16S ribosomal RNA". It matches the Rfam family "Bacterial small subunit ribosomal RNA", at positions 29 to 526 of the family's 1533-position model. The record is from RNAcentral.
AUUGAACGCUGGCGGCAGGCCUAACACAUGCAAGUCGAACGAGUGGCGGACGGGUGAGUAAUGUCUGGGAAACUGCCCGCUGGAGGGGGAUAACUACUGGAAACGGUAGCUAAUACCGCAUACCAUCGGAUGUGCCCUGAUGGGAUGAGCUAGUAGGUGGGGUAACGGCUCACCUGGGCGACGAUCCCUAGCUGGUCUGAGAGGAUGACCAGCCACACUGGAACGGGAACACGGUCCAGACUCCUACGGGAGGCAGCAGGGGGGAAUAUUGGACAAGGGGCGAAAGCGUGAUGCAGCCAGGCCGCGUGUAUGAAGAAGGCCUUCGGGUUGUAAAGUACUUUCAGCGGGGAGGCGUUACUCGCAGAAGAAGCACCGGCUAACUCCGUGCCAGCAGCCGCGGUAAUAC